Molecule: non-coding RNA, 249 nt
Organism: Nicotiana tabacum (common tobacco)
Lineage: Eukaryota; Viridiplantae; Streptophyta; Magnoliopsida; Solanales; Solanaceae
Source: RefSeq, a predicted model, not a curated record
UUUGCAGAUUGAAGCAUGUGGUGGCCAAGCCUUGACUUUUGGAGGUGAUGUUUCAAAAGAAGAAGCUGUAGAAUCCAUGAUGAAAACUGUGGUUGAUCGAUGGGGAACAGUUGAUAUCUUGAUCAAUAAUGCAGGUAUCACACGCGAUACCUUGUUGAUGAGAAUGAAGAAGUCUCAGUGGCAGGAGGUUAUUGAGUUGAAUCUUACAGGAGUUUUUCUCUGCACACAGGCUGCAGCUAAAAUCAUGAU